UUUCAUCGCCCAGCAGAUUUUGAAGAAUACGGAAUUCUCGGUUUAAUCUCUACUUCAAACCAUCAAGGUGAGUUCUCCAUUAAUCUCUACUUCUCUACUGGGUUAUUUUUCUACUCCCAAUUUCCUCUCCAAGAAAUCGAUUCCUGCUCCCAAAGCGUCGAUUCCUUCUCCCAGGGCAACGAUUUCUUCUCCAAUUGCAGGAAUUCACGCUCUUGAAACCACCAAGUUGAGUUCUCCAUUAAUCUCUACUUCUCUACUGUGUUCUUUUCCCACUCUCAAUCAAUCGCCCACUUGAAUCGCUCCUCUUUUGGACAACUGAUUAAAACCAUUGUAUUAUUGUAAUAGAGGAAAACCAGUGCCAAGUUAAGGAUUUUUCUUAUGAUUUUUGGUUUCUGCUUCCAUUGAUUAAACCCAUUAGGGUUUUCUUCUCUUCCACUCUUGCUCAAUCUUCUCCUUUAAAGUUGCUGAUGAUUUCUGGACAUUCGCAAUGGCCGCCUAAGAGCUUUCGUCUUAGMCAGGCUUGAGAGCUAAAAUGUUGCUUUGCUCCUAUCUUGGAUGUCUGAAGUUUAUUUAGAAAUUUGUUUUGAUAUUGGGUUMUCAGUGAUGAUUGCAUAGACGAUAUAUCCAUUCUAUUCAUCAUGAAGACGAAUCAAGGCAUUCAGGUAAGCCUUCAUCUUUGUAUGCUGACAUUCAGGUAAGCUACUAUCUCCAUUUUUAUCUUCGUUGAAGACAUUCAGGUAAGCUUUCAUUAUAGAUCACAUUUCCCUAUCCAUUUCGGGUUUUUGGUUUUAUUUGAAUUUAGGUUAGAUUGAAUUUGGUUUUCCUAUCCUUUCAUYUAUGGAUUUCACAUGUUUUGUUAAUUCCUUUAGGSAUCAUUUAUAGUGAUUUGRAGAAGUAUUUUAAUGUAAUCUACUAAUGUAUAUACAUCAUAGAAAAUAACUUGGUUUGUUCAAGAUCUUCCAGCAAAAUCUGCUCCAAACCCAUGUCAGGGAGUCUGCUUCAAGGGUUUCAACCCUUUAAAAAAACAGCCUACUUCUUGUCUCCUUUCAAACAAAUUAUCUCCGUCACUAGAGCAAGAACCAUUUUGGGGCUUUCAUCACUCCAUUACAGGUUUCUGAAAUGGUGGCUGACAAGGGUAAGAAACCCGAGAUUGGAGAGAAAAUCGUGGAGGACAAUACUGAGCAAAUCAUGAGCUUGUUAUAUCCAUUGCAAAGUUGUCGGAGGUCCAAGAUGAACUUGAAAAGGUACUUGUUGUUUUCUUGUGGCUUGUCAAUUUUCAUGUGGGUUUUCAAGAAAUUCAAGUUUUGAAAAACAUAUGCAAAAUUCUUGCUAAAUACUUAAACAUACAUGGCAAUUCGUCUUCAAUUUUGUAUGAGCAUUUUCAUAAAUUUGACACUUUUGAACUUAAUUUUGUGUUUUAGUUAAUCAAUUGACUCCACUAUACUCCUGAGUUUUAUAUAAUUGGGAGGAUCCUUGAUGCAUAGGUUCCUGUUUUUGCUAUUUGCUGAAUCUUUCUUGGUUUACUUUAUUGUUGAUUGCCCUUUACAUGCUAUGCCAUAAAAAAUUAUUAUGGAUUUGCUUGCUACCUCAUUGGGCCAGAGUUCCUGGGUUGUUUGUGAAUUUAAUAUAAUGGGUUUGCUUACUGAAAAAGGAUCUCAAUUUGGGGGUUAUGUUAGAUUAUAGGGUUAUAUAUUGUCCCCUGCUGUGCAAAAUUGGAAGCACAUAUUAUGUUAUCAUAGGUUGGCGAAACCGGUGCUGAAGGAACAGUAAAAGUUGCCACAAAACGAUUUUCAUUCAACCAUAUGCAUUGGUUCUUGUUCAUUCAGCCAUAGAUUAAAGUGAUUUGAUUUCAAAUAGKUGUUUACUUUUCAAUUUUGAUGCUCGGACC
Molecule: long non-coding RNA, 1888 nt
Organism: Cynara cardunculus var. scolymus (artichoke)
Lineage: Eukaryota; Viridiplantae; Streptophyta; Magnoliopsida; Asterales; Asteraceae
Exons: 4
Source: RefSeq, a predicted model, not a curated record